GAACGCUGGCGGCGUGCUUAACUCAUGCAAGUCCGAACGGAAAGGCCUGCUUUCCCUUGUGGAUUGCGGGUACUCGAGUGGCGAACGGGUGAGUAACACGUGAGUGAUCUGCCCCCAACUUGGGUAUAAGCCUGGGAAACUGGGUCUAAUUCCCGAUAGGACUGCAGGGUGGUGCCUGUGGUGGAAAACGAUUUUCUAGUGGUUGGGGAUGAGCUCGCGGCCUAUCAGCUUGUUGGUGGGGUAAUGGCCUACCAAGGCGGCGACGGGUAGCCGGCCUGAGAGGGUGGACGGCCACAUUGGGACUGAGAUACGGCCCAGACUCCUACGGGAGGCAGCAGUGGGGAAUAUUGCACAAUGGGCGGAAGCCUGAUGCAGCAACGCCGCGUGGGGGAUGACGGCCUUCGGGUUGUAAACUCCUUUCGACCGCGAGGAAGCCACCUGGUUGGAAGGGUGGUGACGGUAGUGGUAGAAGAAGCACCGGCUAACUACGUGCCAGCAGCCGCGGUAAUACGUAGGGUGCGAGCGUUGUCCGGAUUUACUGGGCGUAAAAAGCUCGUAGGUGGCUUGUCGCGUCGUCUGUGAAAGUCUGGGGCUUAACUCCGGGUGUGCAGGCGAUACGGGCUGGCUUGAGUGCUGUAGGGGAGACUGGAAUUCCUGGUGUAGCGGUGGAAUGCGCAGAUAUCAGGAGGAACACCGAUGGCGAAGGCAGGUCUCUGGGCAGCCACUGACGCUGAGGAGCGAGAGCAUGGGUAGCGAACAGGAUUAGAUACCCUGGUAGUCCAUGCUGUAAACGGUGGGCGCUAGGUGUGGGGACUUUCCAUGGUUUCCGUGUCGUAGCUAACGCGGUUAAGCGCCCCGCCUGGGGAGUACGGCCGCAAGGCUA
This 883-nucleotide ribosomal RNA is filed under the name uncultured bacterium. RNAcentral describes it as "bacterial SSU rRNA". It matches the Rfam family "Bacterial small subunit ribosomal RNA", at positions 31 to 896 of the family's 1533-position model. The record is from RNAcentral.